RNAcentral lists this small RNA (3204 nucleotides) under Cryptococcus neoformans H99. Its description in RNAcentral is "Cryptococcus neoformans var. grubii H99 hypothetical RNA". The record is from RNAcentral. Lineage: Eukaryota; Fungi; Basidiomycota; Tremellomycetes; Tremellales; Cryptococcaceae.
UGGGGAGAUGGCAAGUGGUACAUCUUCGUGCCUUAAAUCGUCAUAGUUCAAAGUCCAGUCGAUCUACAAACUUCACGUAUUGAACUUGCAUCCUUAUACUGUAUCCUCUUGUCUGCUCUUCCAAGGAGUCUUAUUCCCAUAUCCAAGCAAAGCAAUAUAUCGAAAUGGGCUUUGGCUAUCACAAACGUAUCACCAUCAUACCGAAAUUCUUGUAUCUCAACAUUAAUGGCAAGCGGGUCAACUUUUCAAUCGGAAGAGGUGGCUUGAACUACAACUUCUAAGCCCGAAACGAAUCGAUUUCCCCUUAUUUCUUAGCGUCUUUUUAAGUUGUACUGAGGUUUUGAGGUGUUGCCAACAAACAUAGACAUGCAAUUUGAUACUCUAUCCCAACUCGACAGGUCAUUAAUAUACCGAUAUUCAUGCUCCACUAUCGAACUCUGGCUACAGGUUACAACAGAUACUUCCUCCCACCCUUUCGGGGGGCUUAUAGUGCUUUGAGCUGGAGGCUUGACUACUUGUUGUCAUCUGAAAAGGGGAGGUUGAUGUAGGUCUUCUUGAGAGGGGAAGGAAGUUUGGCUACAGCUCGUUAGCAUGGGAAAUUCAGCAGACUCAUCUUGAGGGAUACUUACGCGCAUAGCUCAUACUCUUAUUUUUCGCCUCGGCAACAGCCAGUACUUUGGCAUAACUAUCAGCCUCAUCAAAACUUGGUGCGAAGGCAAAGUAUCACUUACACGCUUGUCUCUUAGCGCUGCUACUCGCAGUGCUCCUAUGCGCCGACAAGGCCUUGGGUUCCAUCGAUUUUCUUCUCUAUAAUGAUCAUUUAGUAUACUUCCCCAUCAAUAACCUUCGGCACACACCUUUUCAAAUAUAGGCUCCUCAUUCGGGUCCACAAGAUACUUGUUUUCUUCCAUCUUCUUACUGGCCUUUUUACUAUCCGUCACCCAUUUGAUGCUCACAAGUUUUGGUGGCUUGUCCUGUCGUCGGUACCAAUUCAGCGUCGCCGGUCGACCAGAUUUGUAAACAACAUGGGUGCAAGAGAGUGUUGGUCGGGUAAGAACCUUAUAAGAGAAUUUCAAAAUAUCGGAAAAGAACUGUGACGAAUCUGAUCCUUCACUUGUUCUCACGUCUACAAACGCCACCACGCCCUGGAAACACCUCACGCCCUUCGAUGAACUCAGCAUUUCCAAAAUAGAUUUUUCGCCGGUGGUGUCCGAUGAGACGGACGAGUCAGCAGGAUGAACUGCGCUUCGUACUCGAUGAUUGGCCAGAGGCGCCAUGGUCGUAGAGCUCGUUGAUGCUGAGAGAUUGUUUGUUUCCUUUUUAGAAACAUUUGGAGCUGGGCCCGUGACAGUGACUGAAGGAAUGGUCGGUUUUCGGGGUGGUUCAGCAGAAGCAGAUGCACCGGAAAGUCGUUUCUUUGACUUGAGCUUCUCCAAUGCCUCACUCAAACCGGCCAAGGAUUGAGAAGUCUCUAAUGACAUACCUUCUCGCCUAUUCGUACUCAAACUCAAUCUGAACGUUCGUGCAGGUUCAAGAAUAGGGACAGGGUCAGACACAGAUCGACUGCUUUCGAUUAUAGGAGGCUGGGACAUCUCAACCGCAGAAAACGAUUCUGAAACGGUAGCAGAAGAACGGAUGGGGUUAGAAACUACCCGUGCUGUAGGGCGAGCAAGAGGACCCGAGCCAAGGGAGGAAGGGUAAGAAGGUUGACGCUUGGCAGGCGACGACGGAGGCCCUCGAGUAGAUGAACCUUCACUACCCAUCAUUUCUGGUCGACCACCAGGUCGUCUCUCUGGAAGAGAGCCCAACCCUAAACCACUUGCCAUUUUCCUCGUUGUAGACGAGGGAAGGUGCACCCAUACCCAACAAAGAUCUACCGGACGAAGUUUUGUGCAAUUGAAUGUUGACAGCGGGUUGAGUUAUAGGGCAUUCUGGAGCCGCAGGAUCUGCCAUCUGUGCAGGGUCUGGUGUUGUGGAAAUGAUUUCGGUAGAGGAUGUGGAUAUAAUGUCGGAAGCUGGUUGCGCCUCAGAUUUUGCCUCAAGUGCAGGCUCAUCAACAUUGAUCUUGGUAUCGGGUUCGAUUUCGGUAACAGAAGGCACAUAUCGGGCCUCGCACGCACCACCAGCCUUCCUCAUUCCCGUCGUCAUGUCUACCCCAAGCACUGACUCAGUACUUGUAGUUUCUUCCGCCACAGCCAUAUCAAUAUCCACGUUCUCCGUUGUCUCGGCCGCUUCUUCAACUUUUUCAGCAGUGACAUUUUCCUUCGGAGCCUCAACGGCGCGUGGUUGUAUUUCCUGCUUGGCAGGAGUGGCUUUUAAUACUAAAGCAUCAAGUGACGCCUGCUCCUUAGCUACCCUGACGGCAAGAGCGAUUCGCCUAUUGGUCAAAGGAGAUGCUAUUUUGGGACGGUUAUUAGGGGUAAAUACCGAGACGGUUGGCGGUAUGCCAUCGGGUGUGGUCGAUACGCUGUAAGUGGUAAUGGCAGCUGUAGACUGAUUUUGAGACGCGCGGGGCGUGGAGAGGAAGGUAGAAAGUGGGUGGGCGGGAGAAGAUUUAAAGGUAUUGAUAAGAGAUGGUUGAGAACGGCCAGGAGUAGAUAGGAUUGAGGAAUGCAUCAGGGGUCGCCGGGGGGAAGCGAGGGAGACGGAAGCAUCAUUGGAACGAGGAGUAGGGCUUUUGGUAAUGGCGGCCAUUUGGUGAGGUCUCGGUGGUGUCGGUGGCCUCGCAAUAAACUUAGGAGAAUUCCCGAUAGUUGUGUCUUCAUCCCUUUUGAUUUCAAGGGGACGUUCACGCAUUCUCGGCGGUGUUGGCGAUCGCGCAACCACGGUAAAUAUGUUCGACUCUGCUUCGUUCGCUUCAUCAUCUCCUUGCUUGGCUUCGAGCAUACCCAUUCGCAAGAUUUCUCUUGCUGGCGUUGGAGGUGCGACGGUCUGGGUUUGCUCUGGAACUCGUUGUAGUGACACUAUUGGAGCCAGUGUAUGCCUUGUAUGGAGACUGUUGUUUGACCCUACGGUCUUUAGAGGCGGACCCAUCCUUCUCACAAGUCUUUCAUCCGCCUUCAGCAUUUUUCCUUUCCUUUGAUUCUCAUCCUCAUCUUCCAUUUUUCUCUUCCCAAUGAUCAUUUUCUUAUCCUCUAACACAUUCAUCUUUAAUGGGUUUUCCUUGAGGGGACCUCUACUUCUAAGACUCUUGUUGAAACCGGG